GCUCCCCCGAGCCGAGCCCGCCGCGGUCACAGUCACCCGCGGGAAGCUCGUGGCCGGGACCCCGAGGCGGGAGCGCGGGCUGGGCCGGGCUGGGCUACGCGCACGGGCUCGGCCGCCGCCCCUGCCGAAAACAGCCUUCCACAGAAGUCAGACGCUGGGCUACAGGAACGGCUAUGCAAUUGUUCGACGUCCAACAGUUGGGAUAGGCGGAGACCGGCUCCAGUUCAACCAGCUGUCCCAGGCUGAGCUGGAUGAGUUGGCCAGUAAGGCACCAGUCUUAACUUAUGGCCAACCUAAACAAGCCCCACCUGCGGAUUUUAUUCCUGCGCAUGUGGCCUUUGACAAAAAGGUACUGAAAUUUGAUGCCUAUUUCCAAGAAGAUGUUCCUAUGUCAACUGAGGAACAGUAUAGGAUCCGUCAAGUGAACAUUUACUAUUAUCUAGAAGAUGACAGCAUGUCUGUCAUAGAGCCUGUUGUAGAAAAUUCUGGAAUCCUUCAAGGCAAGUUAAUAAAACGCCAGCGGCUAGCCAAGAAUGACCGGGGUGACCAUUACCAUUGGAAAGACCUAAAUCGAGGAAUAAACAUCACAAUUUAUGGCAAAACUUUCCGCGUUGUUGACUGUGACCAAUUCACACAGGUAUUUUUAGAAAGCCAAGGAAUUGAAUUAAAUCCACCAGAGAAGAUGGCUCUUGAUCCUUACACUGAACUCCGAAAACAGCCUCUUCGUAAGUAUGUCACCCCAUCAGACUUUGAUCAACUCAAGCAAUUUCUCACCUUUGACAAACAGGUCCUUCGAUUCUAUGCAAUCUGGGAUGAUACAGACAGCAUGUAUGGUGAAUGUCGGACCUACAUCAUUCAUUACUAUCUUAUGGAUGAUACGGUGGAAAUUCGAGAGGUCCACGAACGGAAUGAUGGGAGAGAUCCUUUCCCACUCCUAAUGAACCGCCAGCGUAUGCCCAAAGUUUUGGUGGAAAAUGCAAAGAACUUCCCUCAGUGUGUGCUAGAAAUCUCUGACCAAGAAGUGUUGGAAUGGUAUACUGCUAAAGACUUCAUUGUUGGGAAGUCACUCACUAUCCUUGGGAGAACUUUCUUCAUUUAUGAUUGUGAUCCAUUUACUCGACGGUAUUACAAAGAGAAGUUUGGAAUCACUGAUUUACCACGUAUUGAUGUGAGCAAGCGGGAACCACCUCCAGUAAAACAGGAGUUGCCUCCUUAUAACGGUUUUGGACUAGUGGAAGAUUCUGCUCAGAAUUGUUUUGCUCUCAUUCCAAAAGCUCCAAAAAAAGAUGUUAUUAAAAUGCUGGUGAAUGAUAACAAGGUGCUUCGUUAUUUGGCUGUACUGGAAUCCCCCAUCCCAGAAGACAAAGACCGCAGAUUUGUCUUCUCUUACUUUCUAGCUACCGACAUGAUCAGUAUCUUUGAGCCUCCUGUUCGCAAUUCUGGUAUCAUUGGGGGCAAGUACCUUGGCAGGACUAAAGUUGUUAAACCAUACUCUACAGUGGACAACCCUGUCUACUAUGGCCCCAGUGACUUCUUCAUUGGUGCUGUGAUUGAAGUGUUUGGUCACCGGUUCAUCAUCCUUGAUACAGACGAGUAUGUUUUGAAAUACAUGGAGAGCAACGCUGCCCAGUAUUCACCAGAAGCACUCGCGUCAAUUCAGAACCAUGUCCGAAAGCGAGAAGCGCCUGCUCCAGAAGCAGAAAGGAUCUCGCUCUGUACCCAGGCUGGCAUGCAGUGCCAAUAGUGGAAUAAUAGCUCACUGCAGCCUCAAACUCCUGAGAUCCUCCUUGAGUUCAGCUUCCCAAGUAGCUGGAACUACAGGUGUACACCACUAUUCCUAGCUAAUUUUUAAAUUUUCAGUAGCGACAGGGGUCUCAGUUUGUUGCCCAGAACUCCUGGGCUCAAGUGAUUCUGCCUCCUUGGCCUCCCAAAGUGCUAGGAUUACAGGCGUGAGCCAUUGCUCCUGGCCUGGGUGAAAUCUCUAAAGGAGUUAAUGUAGCUAAAGAAAAGAAUGGCUCUAAGAACUAAGCUCUGGGGUCCACCAACGCUUACAGUUAAGGAGACUGAAAAGGAAAACGAAUAAAGCAGGAAGAAAAUGUGGUAUCCUGGAUGUCAAAUGAAGGGGUAGCGUAGGACUGUAAAAAAUAAGAUGCAAAACAAUUUUAAUAAUCAAAGGGAAAAUGUACAAUUGUUCUGUGCCCUUUAAAAAUUUUUGUCACUGCCAGGCGCGGUGGCUCAUGCCUGUAAUCCCAGCACUUUGGGAGGCCGAGGUGGGCGGAUCAUGAGGUCAGGAGUUCAAGACCAGCCUGACCAACAUGGUGAACCCCCGUCUCUGCUAAAAAUACAAAAAAAUUAGCUAGGCAUGGUGGUGCACACCUAUAAUCCCAGCUACUCAGGAGGCUGAGGCAGGAGAAUCACUUGAACCCAGGAGGCGGAGGUUGCAGUGAGCCAAGAUUGCGCCACUGCACUCCAGCCUGGGCGACAGAGCAAGUCUCCGUCUCAAAAAAAAAAAAAAAAUUUGUCACAGCAUUAAAAAUGUUAUGGUUGUAAAUGUAUAAGGACAUGAAAAAAUAGUAAAACUAAUUUUUACUUAGCACAUUGUAAUUUAAAACACUGAUAACAUUAAUAAUUAAAGUGUUUUAUUUCUUUAUAAAAACUUUAUCAAAAGUGGUUUGAGCAGCACUUGCCUACUUCUCAUUGUAUAACUUAUGAUGCAGACUGAACAUCUGUUCUGUGCCUUGGUGAAUU
RNAcentral lists this small RNA (2748 nucleotides) under Pan troglodytes (chimpanzee). RNAcentral's name for it is "processed transcript". Lineage: Eukaryota; Metazoa; Chordata; Mammalia; Primates; Hominidae. The record is from RNAcentral.